RNAcentral lists this ribosomal RNA (253 nucleotides) under uncultured prokaryote. Its description in RNAcentral is "partial 16S ribosomal RNA". It matches the Rfam family "Bacterial small subunit ribosomal RNA", at positions 525 to 777 of the family's 1533-position model. The record is from RNAcentral.
ACGUAGGGUGCGAGCGUUAAUCGGAAUUACUGGGCGUAAAGCGUGCGCAGGCGGUGAUGUAAGACAGGUGUGAAAUCCCCGGGCUUAACCUGGGAACUGCAUUUGUGACUGCAUCGCUGGAGUGCGGCAGAGGGGGAUGGAAUUCCGCGUGUAGCAGUGAAAUGCGUAGAGAUGUGGAGGAACACCGAUGGCGAAGGCAGCCUCCUGGGCCAGCACCGACGCUCAUGCACGAAAGCGUGGGGAGCAAACAGGA